This 497-nucleotide ribosomal RNA is filed under the name uncultured bacterium. Its description in RNAcentral is "partial 16S ribosomal RNA". It matches the Rfam family "Bacterial small subunit ribosomal RNA", at positions 28 to 507 of the family's 1533-position model. The record is from RNAcentral.
GACGAACGCUGGCGGCGUGCCUAAUACAUGCAAGUUGAGCGCUGAAAGGUGGUACUUGUUCCUACUGGAUGAGCAGCGAACGGGUGAGUAACACGUGGGGAAUCUACCUUUGAGCCGGGGAUAACAUCUGGAAACGAAUGCUAAUACCGCAUAAAAACUUUAAACACAAGUUUUAAGAUUGAAAGAUGCAAUUGCAUCACCCAAAGAUUAUCCCCCGUUGUAUUAGCUAGUUGGUGAGGUAAAGGCCUACCCAGGCGAAGAUACAGAACCGGCCUGAGAGGGGGAUCGGCCAAAAUGGGACUGAGACACGGCCCAAGCUCCUACGGGAGGCAGCAGUAGGGAAUCUUCGGCAAUUGACGAAAGUCUGACCGGGCAACGGCGCGUGAGUGAAGGAAGUUUUCGGAUCGUAAAACUCUGUUGGUAGAGAAGAACGUUGGGGAGAGUGGACUGCUCAUCAAGUGACGGUACCUACCCAGAAAGGGACGGCUAACUACGUG